Molecule: long non-coding RNA, 937 nt
Organism: Peromyscus californicus insignis
Lineage: Eukaryota; Metazoa; Chordata; Mammalia; Rodentia; Cricetidae
Exons: 2
Source: RefSeq, a predicted model, not a curated record
CCAAGAGGGGCUUGGAGGGGCGGAAUUAGCCUCAGCAGAGAGGCUAGAUCAGGCUCUGGCUCCAGGAACCAUUGACAGGAAGUGUGGGGUGUCUGCCCAGCCUCCCACGCAGUGUGGCAGCACCGCUAUACAAAUGUCUUCUAAACAGUCUUCUGUGUCCUGACGUCCUGAAGUAUUUCAUCCUAAAUGUCUCCAAUGUGGAAAUUAGAAGCUGGUGAAAAAUACGAAAUCAGAGCUGAGAAUUAGAGUGCUUGGGAAGUCUACAGAAGGCCGCAGAAACUAACAAACUUCAUGGAGUUAUUGAAGGAAAAGCCUAGAACUUUAAGAAAUACAUCAAGUGUGAGAAGCAAGUGAAUGUGCCUUUUUAUUAGAAAUAAUAUUUCUAACAUUUCACCUUAUCAAGUAUAUUUUAAAGUUGCAAUCUAUGCAGAUGUUGGUUUUCUAACUGCAUUUUUUCUUCUUAAAUACAGAGUCUCAUUAUGUAACUCUGGCUGCACUAGAACUUACUAUGUAGACAAGGUUGGCUUUGAACUCAGAGAUCCUCUUGCUCUGCCUCUUAAGUGCUGGUUUCUGACUGCAAUUUUUGAUUUAAGUACAAUUUAUUUUCAGUUAUCCACUAUCGGGCUUAAGAAGAUCCCCAAACAGUGCUUUAUUGUUGCCCCUUGUUGAAGAAACUCUUCCUGGCUUCUUUUCUGGCUUCCCUGUAUCGUUCAUGUACAAAGUAAUCUUCCAUCACUCGAACUCAGAGAAGUGAGAAUACUGACUGAAGUAGAUGUGAAGUGGGAGCCAUUUACAAGUGAUUCUAUAGCUUAACCUUUCCCACAUUUUUUAUUUUUUGAGACAGAGUCUCAUGUAGCCUAAACUGGUCUCAAAUCCACUAUGUCCCAUAUUUUUUUGAAGAUAAUAAAUUGUGAUGUGUAGAAAAUUUUUAGAUCAA